UAGAAACAUCAGACACUGUAGGAGAAAGAGCCAAAGAACAGGAGGCAACAGCCAGACUUGCAUGUUAGAUGGUUGGAGUCUGAAAAUAUCCAGAGUAAAGAAAGAUGCCGGAUGGAGAGCAGUGCUCCCCUCGCACUUCGGUUCUGUAAAUGGCAGUGGAUGAAGACCGCAGACGCUACUGGGUUCACAGAAUGUGGCUGCCACCAGCAUUCUCCAAAGACUUCCCCUGGCAAAUGCCAAUGAAAUGAAGGGGAGCCACAGGCUUCCCAGAGGCUCAGGAAGCAGAAACACUGAGGCCUGGUUGGAAAGAGAGCUGUAGGCAAAGGAACGGCUGCAAACAAACUGGGUGGAAGGAAAAUCCAUCCAUCCUUCAGAAUGCAGUCAUGUCUGUAUUUUUCUAAAUUCUCAUUGGGGAACAUGUUCUACAAUAAGGAAAACAUGAGUCAAAGACCCCCAGCCCUGGUGAGGUUGACCGCCUACUUCCUCCCCCAUUCAGGGCUGCCCAGCCAGUCCUGCUGGUAAACCCACCACCCUGCCUUCCACCUGCCUGUGUUCUAGUCCAUCUGUCUCGUCUGAUUGGGAUCCUGUGCCAUCCAUAUCAUAUUCAUCCCUGAAUCUCAGCACCUGGCUCUGGAAAGAAUUCAGUAAAUGUUCAUUACAUAAAUUAUAUACUCAGUUACCAAAAUGGGUAACAGAAGAAUGGAAAUUAAAAAGUGGGUUCUGGCUGGGAACGGUGGCUCAUGCCUGUAAUCCCAGCAUUUUGGAAGGCCGAGGCAGGCGGAUCACUUGAGGUCAGCAGUUUGAGACCAGCCUAGCCAACAUGGUGAAACCCCAUCUCUACUAAAAAUACAAACAUUAGCUGGGCAUGGUAGCACAUGCUUAUAGUCUGACCUAUUUGGGAGGCUGAGGCAGGAGAAUCGCUUGAACCCGGGAGGCAGAGGUUGC
This 945-nucleotide long non-coding RNA is filed under the name Homo sapiens (human). RNAcentral describes it as "HSALNT0029059". The record is from RNAcentral. Lineage: Eukaryota; Metazoa; Chordata; Mammalia; Primates; Hominidae.